AUUGUAAACAUGGACUAUUCGGAAUGGAUUGAGACACAGAAAGCACGUUUGAGUGUUCACAUGUUCUGAAGAGCAUUCUGUUGAAAAAUCUUAUAUGUGAAUUGGUCUGCAGAUGACACUUCAGCAUUAAAACAAAAGAUAUC
Long non-coding RNA from Mytilus trossulus (common blue mussel), 143 nucleotides. RefSeq lists it as uncharacterized. The transcript has 3 exons. The record is from RefSeq and is a predicted model, not a curated record. Lineage: Eukaryota; Metazoa; Mollusca; Bivalvia; Mytilida; Mytilidae.